RNAcentral lists this ribosomal RNA (427 nucleotides) under uncultured bacterium. Its description in RNAcentral is "partial 16S ribosomal RNA". It matches the Rfam family "Bacterial small subunit ribosomal RNA", at positions 355 to 774 of the family's 1533-position model. The record is from RNAcentral.
UGGGGAAUAUUGGACAAUGGGCGAAAGCCUGAUCCAGCCAUGCCGCGUGUGUGAAGAAGGUCUUCGGAUUGUACAGCACUUUAAGUUGGGAGGAAGGGCAUUAACCUAAUACGUUAGUGUUUUGACGUUACCGACAGAAUAAGCACCGGCUAACUCUGUGCCAGCAGCCGCGGUAAUACAGAGGGUGCAAGCGUUAAUCGGAAUUACUGGGCGUAAAGCGCGCGUAGGUGGUUUGUUAAGUUGGAUGUGAAAUCCCCGGGCUCAACCUGGGAACUGCAAUCAAAACUGACUGACUAGAGUAUGGUAGAGGGUGGUGGAAUUUCCUGUGUAGCGGUGAAAUGCGUAGAUAUAGGAAGGAACACCAGUGGCGAAGGCGACCACCUGGACUAAUACUGACACUGAGGUGCGAAAGCGUGGGGAGCAAACA